GAUGAACGCUGGCGGCGUGCCUAAUACAUGCAAGUCGAGCGAAUGGAUUGAGAGCUUGCUCUUAUGAAGUUAGCGGCGGACGGGUGAGUAACACGUGGGUAACCUGCCCAUAAGACUGGGAUAACUCCGGGAAACCGGGGCUAAUACCGGAUAACAUUUUGAACCGCAUGGUUCGAAAUUGAAAGGCGGCUUCGGCUGUCACUUAUGGAUGGACCCGCGUCGCAUUAGCUAGUUGGUGAGGUAACGGCCCACCAAGGCAACGAUCAGUAGCAGGUCUGAGAGGGUGAUCGGCCACACUGGGACUGAGACACGGCCCAGACUCCUACGGGAGGCAGCAGUAGGGAAUCUUCCGCAAUGGACGAAAGUCUGACGGAGCAACGCCGCGUGAGUGAUGAAGGCUUUCGGGUCGUAAAACUCUGUUGUUAGGGAAGAACAAGUGCUAGUUGAAUAAGCUGGCACCUUGACGGUACCUAACCAGAAAGCCACGGCUAACUACGUGCCAGCAGCCGCGGUAA
RNAcentral lists this ribosomal RNA (515 nucleotides) under uncultured bacterium. Its description in RNAcentral is "partial 16S ribosomal RNA". It matches the Rfam family "Bacterial small subunit ribosomal RNA", at positions 28 to 523 of the family's 1533-position model. The record is from RNAcentral.